This 360-nucleotide ribosomal RNA is filed under the name Thaicharmus sp. Its description in RNAcentral is "partial large subunit ribosomal RNA". It matches the Rfam family "Archaeal large subunit ribosomal RNA", at positions 2045 to 2639 of the family's 2987-position model. The record is from RNAcentral. Lineage: Eukaryota; Metazoa; Arthropoda; Arachnida; Scorpiones; Buthidae.
UUAGUCUUGUAAUUUAAGACUGGAAUGAAAGAGAUUACUAAAGAGAUAUUUUCUUAUAUUUAUCAUAUAAAUUUUACCUUUUAGUAAAAAGGCUAAAAUGAAUCUUUUAGACAAGAAGACCCUAUAAAACUUUACAUCUAACUAAUCUAAAAAUUUUUAAGGUGUUUUACUGGGGCGGUAAAAUUUUUAAACAUUUUUUGAUGGUAAAAAUAUAGAAAUUUUUAUAACUAGAAGUUCUAAAAUAAAAACAAGUUACUUUAGGGAUAACAGCGUAAUUUAUUUUGAAAGGUCUUAUUGACAGAUAAGUUUGCGACCUCGAUGUUGGAUUAGAGAAUCUUACCUAUGUAUAAGUAGAAGAAG